GAUGAACGCUGGCGGCGUGCCUAAUACAUGCAAGUCGAGCGAACGGACGAGAAGCUUGCUUCUCUGAUGUUAGCGGCGGACGGGUGAGUAACACGUGGAUAACCUACCUAUAAGACUGGGAUAACUUCGGGAAACCGGAGCUAAUACCGGAUAAUAUUUUGAACCGCAUGGUUCAAAAGUGAAAGACGGUCUUGCUGUCACUUAUAGAUGGAUCCGCGCUGCAUUAGCUAGUUGGUAAGGUAACGGCUUACCAAGGCAAUGAUGCAUAGCCGACCUGAGAGGGUGAUCGGCCACACUAGAACUGAGACACGGUCCAGACUCCUACGGGAGGCAGCAGUAGGGAAUCUUCCGCAAUGGGCGAAAGCCUGACGGAGCAACGCCGCGUGAGUGAUGAAGGUCUUCGGAUCGUAAAACUCUGUUAUUAGGGAAGAACAUAUGUGUAAGUAACUGUGCACAUCUUGACGGUACCUAAUCAGAAAGCCACGGCUAACUACGUG
This 497-nucleotide ribosomal RNA is filed under the name uncultured bacterium. RNAcentral's name for it is "partial 16S ribosomal RNA". It matches the Rfam family "Bacterial small subunit ribosomal RNA", at positions 28 to 507 of the family's 1533-position model. The record is from RNAcentral.